This 275-nucleotide ribosomal RNA is filed under the name uncultured prokaryote. Its description in RNAcentral is "partial 16S ribosomal RNA". It matches the Rfam family "Bacterial small subunit ribosomal RNA", at positions 524 to 798 of the family's 1533-position model. The record is from RNAcentral.
UACGGAGGAUCCGAGCGUUAUCCGGAUUUAUUGGGUUUAAAGGGUGCGCAGGCGGGAGAUUAAGUCGGCGGUGAAAUUUUGCAGCUCAACUGUAAAAGUGCCUUCGAAACUGGUUUCCUUGAGUGUGGAUGAAGUAGGCGGAAUUUGUGGUGUAGCGGGGAAAUGCAUAGAUAUCACGAGGAACUCCGAUUGCGCAGACAGCUUACUAAACCAUAACUGACGCUCAGGCACGAAGGCGUGGGGAUCAAACAGGAUUAGAUACCCGCGUAGUCCCU